GUCUGCCAACAAAAAGCCCACCUGG
Molecule: non-coding RNA, 25 nt
Filed under: Rattus norvegicus (Norway rat)
Lineage: Eukaryota; Metazoa; Chordata; Mammalia; Rodentia; Muridae
Source: RNAcentral